CAGCAGCCGCGGGAAUACAGAGGGUGCGAGCGUUAAUCGGAUUUACUGGGCGUAAAGCGUGCGUAGGCGGCUUCUUAAGUCGGAUGUGAAAUCCCUGAGCUUAACUUAGGAAUUGCAUUCGAUACUGGGAAGCUAGAGUAUGGGAGAGGAUGGUAGAAUUCCAGGUGUAGCGGUGAAAUGCGUAGAGAUCUGGAGGAAUACCGAUGGCGAAGGCAGCCAUCUGGCCUAAUACUGACGCUGAGGUACGAAAGCAUGGGGAGCAAACAGGAUUAGAUACCCCUGUAGUCCCUGUCUCUUAUAU
Molecule: ribosomal RNA, 301 nt
Filed under: uncultured bacterium
Lineage: Bacteria
Description: partial 16S ribosomal RNA
Rfam family: Bacterial small subunit ribosomal RNA
Source: RNAcentral